Molecule: ribosomal RNA, 946 nt
Filed under: uncultured organism
Description: bacterial SSU rRNA
Rfam family: Bacterial small subunit ribosomal RNA
Source: RNAcentral
ACGUUAUCCGGAUGUACUCGGCGUAAAGCGCGUGCAGACUGUUCGAUAACUUGGGCGUGAAAGCUCCCGGCUCAACUGGGAGAGGUCGUUCAAUACUGUCGGACUAGAGGAUGGUAGAGGAAGGUGGAAUUCCGGGUGUAGUGGUGAAAUGCGCAGAUAUCCGGAGGAACACCAGUGGCGAAAGCGGCCUUCUGGACCAUUCCUGACGCUCAGACGCGAAAGCUAGGGUAGCAAACGGGAUUAGAGACCCCGGUAGUCCUAGCUGUAAACGAUGUGAACUUGGCGUCGGUGGGAUUAAAUCCAUCGGUGUCGUAGCUAACGCGAUAAGUUCACCGCCUGAGGACUACGGCCGCAAGGUUAAAACUCAAAGGAAUUGACGGGGACCCGCACAAGCAGCGGAGCGUGUGGUUUAAUUCGUUGCUACACGAAGAACCUUACCUGGGUUUGACAUAUAGGUUGUAGGGAACUGAAAAGGGACCGACCCUUCGGGGAGCCUAUACAGGUGUCGCAUGGCUGUCGUCAGCUCGUGUCGUGAGAUGUUCGGUUAAGUCCGCUAACGAGCGCAACCCUCGCCGUAUGUUAUAUGUGUCAUACGGGACUGCCGGUAACAAGCCGGAGGAAGGUGGGGAUGAUGUCAAGUCAGCAUGACCUUUAUAUCCAGGGCUACACACACGCUACAAUGGUCUGUACAAUGGGUAGCCAAGCCGCGAGGCGGAGCCAAUCCUGAAAGCAGGCCUCAGUUCAGAUUGCAGUCUGCAACCCGACUGCAUGAAGCCGGAGUUGCUAGUAACCGCAGGUCAGCAAUACUGCGGUGAUACGUUCCCGGGUCUUGUACACACCGCCCGUCACGUCAUGGAAGCUGGCAACGCCUGAAGCCGGUAUCCUAACCCUCACGGGAAGGAGCCGUCUAAGGCGGGGUCGGUGACUGGGACGAAGUCGUAACAAG